RNAcentral lists this ribosomal RNA (354 nucleotides) under uncultured bacterium. Its description in RNAcentral is "bacterial SSU rRNA". It matches the Rfam family "Bacterial small subunit ribosomal RNA", at positions 29 to 409 of the family's 1533-position model. The record is from RNAcentral.
AACGAACGCUGGCGGCAUGCCUAACACAUGCAAGUCGAACGAGACCUUCGGGUCUAGUGGCGCACGGGUGCGUAACGCGUGGGAAUCUGCCCUUGGGUUCGGAAUAACAGCGAGAAAUUGCUGCUAAUACCGGAUGAUGACGUAAGUCCAAAGAUUUAUCGCCCAAGGAUGAGCCCGCGUAGGAUUAGCUAGUUGGUGAGGUAAAGGCUCACCAAGGCGACGAUCCUUAGCUGGUCUGAGAGGAUGAUCAGCCACACUGGGACUGAGACACGGCCCAGACUCCUACGGGAGGCAGCAGGUGGGGAAUAUUGGACAAUGGGCGAAAGCCUGAUCCAGCAAUGCCGCGUGAGUGAU